This is a long non-coding RNA of Hemibagrus wyckioides, 3651 nucleotides long. RefSeq lists it as uncharacterized. Lineage: Eukaryota; Metazoa; Chordata; Actinopteri; Siluriformes; Bagridae. The transcript has 3 exons. The record is from RefSeq and is a predicted model, not a curated record.
AGCACACUCACAGGGCUCCCAAAGACUCUCCAGGAGUGCAUCUAUGCUCUGUGAGCCACCUGGAGGUGAUAUAAACUGCACUGGGGGCAAAAGGUUGCUGCCAAGUUACAACGUCGCUGGCUCACACAUACUAUAAAAAUUCAUCCACAGACAUCACCAUAUCUUCUGAUUUAGAGUCCAGAUGGCGGCUUAUCGGUACGUCAUAAAAACAUCUGAUUAUACGAUCAAAUUUAUCUCAUUGGACACCUCCCCUUUCCUUUCUUUCUUCCUCUCUCUCUUGCUCUUGUGCUGCUAGUUACAAUACAAUUUCACAUUUAGCCUGACAGACAAGCUGGAACAGCAUGAAGUCAUUGUGAUUAGCCGGGAGCCUGCAUGAAGACAAGAUGCUUGUCAGUGGAGGCAGAUGACAUCAUGGCUGAAAACGUUUAUUAGGUGUGACUGCCAAGCGCUAGUGGAGAAGUACAAGUGAUUCAGGACUAUAUGCUACUCUGUAGUACACUCUGUAAACUUGUCAGGUACUGUAUGGUAGAAAAGAAAGCAAUAAAAAAAAAAUACAUUUCACUUCUAAAUGCAAACAUUUAUACCACAUAAUUGUGAUUUGCCAUAAAAUCUUUCCUCAAGAUUACCAAGAUUACAGCUUGUGACAAUCUAAGGAAGGCAUCUGUUGUUUGUAUGCCAAAGUAAGAUGAAACCACAUGUUGAUAAAGUAUAAUGACCACCUGACACUUUGAACUCUAAAAACCUGUUUUAAUAGGGGAAGCUGUGGCGAUAAGAUUUGGACGUGUUGAUGAGUAAUGAGAGACACUUUCGUAAGAUCUGGCUUGCUCAGUGUGUAUGUAAAGUGCAGAUCAGAAUCAACUAGAGCGUUAGUGAAAAACUUUGGAUUCUUAUAUAUUGUCAGCAAUAACUUGAGUAUGAAGUUGAAUCUUAUUUUAAUAAAGCAUGGACUCAUUCACAGGUUUUUAUAAAACCUGAUGUUCCAUUUCAGAUGAAUUCCAAUGAAAUGUAUAUUUAAAUGGAAGGAAAAUCUGACCUUUUGUGUUAAUAUGAUCAAUAAACGUGCUUCCAUUUGAAAUAAUUUAUAUGAACAAUUUAAAAUUUAAAAUGCUAUAAAAAUGACAUGAAUUUUGACUACUGAAUUUUCAAAUAUUGAAAGUUUAAAUAUUAAUACUUACUGUUUAUUUCAAUUUUACACAUUUAAUGUGGUGUUGGAUGCUUGCCUUUUACUGUAUGAUGCAUUAAGUACCACAUGAUCCCAUCACUGUACUAUUUUACUGCACUUUUUGGUUUAUUUCUCUGUGCCCCAUCUCAUUACCUCAUUAUCCAUUUUGUUUUCUGUAUAUAUCCCUAUUUAAAUGUUCCAAGCUGCUAUGACAACUUAAUUUCUCUCUGUGGAUUAAUAGUUAUUCUAUUCUAUUCUAUUCUAUUCUAUUCUAUUCUAUUCUAUUCUAUUCUAUUCUAUCAUCUAAUUUCAUAUGCCACUGCCACAUUCUUUUAGUCUCACUGAGCAAAGGUGAAGGUAUUAUAUAUAAUAAUUUAUAAGUGUGUUACUGUGGCUAAGCAAAAGGUCUGUUGUAGGAGCUGGCAUAGUGAAGUGUGUGUUUGUGUGUAUGUGUGUGUGUGUCUGGUUUUUCUGUAUCGAUGGUAAGUAGUUGCACUGUCAGUUAUGGCAUGACUGCAUUUUUUUGGCCAGACCUGAUGUCAAAGAAUGAGACUGAACCCGAAAAACAGGUCACCUCACCUGCUGUGUGGCCCUUUCACCCUGCUGUAGCAGUAAUGUACACGUGUAUGCCUUGGGCAAACACACAGUGAUGUGCUGCAACUCCUGCACACUUUAAACUGGUUGUGUAUAUUAGCAUAUCUCAUAUACAAAUGAUAGAUGGAGUUUCUGCUAACAGAAAAUAUGUGAGUGUGUGAGUGUGUGUUUGUGGUGAGUACUAUGUACUACUGUACAUACACAGUGCAUAUGUGUGUCUGCACUGCAAAGGGAAAAGCUUGCCAUGCGUGCUUGUUCAUUUGGGUUUUUGUGAUAUUCUGUCUGUUCUUUUUUUAAGGCUGUUUAAUAGUAGCUUUUGUGGUCAUGCUGAUGUGUGUGUGUGUGUGUCAGAGAGUAUAGUGUAAAAUGCAGGUGCAGGAUUGACUGGAAAAGUGGAAGUGGAGGGCAGAUAAUCCCAGGAUUAAGAAAUAAGCUUGGUUCGUGUGUGUGUGUACGUGUGUGUGUGUGUGUGUGUGUGUGUGUGGCAGGGUUUACCCAUCGCAGUAUCAAGCCUAGAACAUACCACCUGACCAGCUUGAAAUAAGCCUCCAGCAUGGUCUGGUCCAGGCCACACACAGCUAUGGGGAUGAGGAGCCAAUUUUUAGACACUUCAACACUCAAUUUCUAUCAGUAGAACUAGGAAAGGAAAUAUAAUAUCUUCUAUUUUUUGGCUUCUCAAGAUCACACCCCUAGGUGAUGGACCAAUGUCCCAUUCCGAGUGAAUUCUCUCACACUGUUUUCAUACUAGGCUCUUUCAUCCACCGUGAGCCUGACCAGGAUAAAGAGUAGGAUAAAGUGGUUAUGAAUCAAUGAAUAAAUAACUUUCUUGCUGACGUUAGUAUGUGCUAAUGGAUGGAAAUAAUUUGGGAAUUACCAGUACUAAUGCAACACAGUAGACAAGUUGUUUCAAGAAAAGAGUAAAGCGAUCGAUUUUAAAAUGUAUUAAUCAGCAUGACACAGUGAGGCAAUAGAGUCCCUGGUUCAAGCCAGAGCUUGGGUUACAGUCUGUUUGGAGUUUCUGUGCAUGUUCCUCCCAUGUCUGUAUUGGUUUUUAACUGGGUUCUUCAGUUUCCUCCCACUUCCCAAAGGCUACUUUAAAUUACUCCAAGUUGUGACUGUGUGUGUGUGUGUGUCUGCUUGGUGCCCAAUGAUGGUGUGGCAUCACAUCCUAUCCAGAAUAUAUUCCAACUUCAUGCACAGUAUUCUUGGGAUAGACUCAAGAUCCACCGCAAUCCUGACCAGGACAUUGAAGAUGAAUGAAUUUAGAUGAUUAAUAAGAAAUUUGAAACGGCUGGCUCUGUGUUUUGGCAGUUGGUGAGAGUAAGCUGGAUAGAGUAUUUUAGGACAGUUAGUCUUUAUAAAGUAUCAGUUUUCCAAUUAAUGUUUCCUGACAAAUGCUAAAAUAAUUGACAUGAUCUGUUCUUAUAGAUGUUUCUAACUGCUUCUGCUUUUCCCCCAUGGUUGGAGCAGCUGCACUCCUUUGGCAUAAAGUUUACGACAGAACCCGGGUUAAACACUUAAGCGCAAGUCACUUGUGCUCAUGACGCAUGACAUGAACAAAUAUGUCUAAGAGUUUGGCUCAGUGAGAGAGGGCUCACUGCUGACACCGAGGACAAAUUAGUUCCUAAAAGAGGAGGAUGAAAGCGGUUUAGCUACACAAGGUCAGACUCCCAAAAACUUACCUGAAGCAUUUGUGAAUUGUAAAAUGUAUGACAGAAAAAGCAAGAAGUCACUUGAUACUGCUGAAGCAACUACACUGGAAAUGCAGUAUGUUUUGAGGUAAAUCUCAAACCAUUUUUAUAAUUUUGAUAGAAAAUGAAGCCAAAAUUUUCCCAAAUGAUGCUUGAAGCUCACUUGGAUUAAAGCACUUGAGUAAAAAUAUUUGCAGCCUUAUU